UGCAAGUCGUACGCUUUCUUUUUCCACCGGAGCUUGCUCCACCGGAAAAAGAGGAGUGGCGAACGGGUGAGUAACACGUGGGUAACCUGCCCAUCAGAAGGGGAUAACACUUGGAAACAGGUGCUAAUACCGUAUAACAAUCGAAACCGCAUGGUUUUGAUUUGAAAGGCGCUUUCGGGUGUCGCUGAUGGAUGGACCCGCGGUGCAUUAGCUAGUUGGUGAGGUAACGGCUCACCAAGGCCACGAUGCAUAGCCGACCUGAGAGGGUGAUCGGCCACAUUGGGACUGAGACACGGCCCAAACUCCUACGGGAGGCAGCAGUAGGGAAUCUUCGGCAAUGGACGAAAGUCUGACCGAGCAACGCCGCGUGAGUGAAGAAGGUUUUCGGAUCGUAAAACUCUGUUGUUAGAGAAGAAUAAGGAUGAGAGUAACUGUUCAUCCCUUGACGGUAUCUAACCAGAAAGCCACGGCUAACUACGUGCCAGCAGCCGCGGUAAUACGUAGGUGGCAAGCGUUGUCCGGAUUUAUUGGGCGUAAAGCGAGCGCAGGCGGUUUCUUAAGUCUGAUGUGAAAGCCCCCGGCUCAACCGGGGAGGGUCAUUGGAAACUGGGAGACUUGAGUGCAGAAGAGGAGAGUGGAAUUCCAUGUGUAGCGGUGAAAUGCGUAGAUAUAUGGAGGAACACCAGUGGCGAAGGCGGCUCUCUGGUCUGUAACUGACGCUGAGGCUCGAAAGCGUGGGGAGCAAACAGGAUUAGAUACCCUGGUAGUCCACGCCGUAAACGAUGAGUGCUAAGUGUUGGAGGGUUUCCGCCCUUCAGUGCUGCAGCUAACGCAUUAAGCACUCCGCCUGGGGAGUACGACCGCAAGGUUGAAACUCAAG
This 880-nucleotide ribosomal RNA is filed under the name Enterococcus faecium. RNAcentral describes it as "bacterial SSU rRNA". It matches the Rfam family "Bacterial small subunit ribosomal RNA", at positions 56 to 905 of the family's 1533-position model. Lineage: Bacteria; Bacillati; Bacillota; Bacilli; Lactobacillales; Enterococcaceae. The record is from RNAcentral.